ACAGAUCGUUCAGUAGUUUGAUCCGUGGCUCGAGGACGAACGCUGGCGGCGUGCUUAACACAUGCAAGUCGAACGGGGUUAAGAAGCUUGCUUCUUAACUUAGUGGCGAACGGGUGAGUAACGCGUGAGGAACCUGCCUUUCAGUGGGGGACAACAGUUGGAAACGACUGCUAAUACCGCAUGAUACUAAUUAACGGCAUCGUUGAUUAGUCAAAGAUUUAUUGCUGAAAGAUGGCCUCGCGUCUGAUUAGCUAGUUGGUGGGGUAACGGCCCACCAAGGCGACGAUCAGUAGCCGGACUGAGAGGUUGACCGGCCACAUUGGGACUGAGAUACGGCCCAG
Molecule: ribosomal RNA, 341 nt
Filed under: uncultured bacterium
Lineage: Bacteria
Description: bacterial SSU rRNA
Rfam family: Bacterial small subunit ribosomal RNA
Source: RNAcentral